RNAcentral lists this ribosomal RNA (941 nucleotides) under uncultured Tulasnella. Its description in RNAcentral is "eukaryotic LSU rRNA". The stretch from base 343 to 941 matches the Rfam family "Eukaryotic large subunit ribosomal RNA", at positions 1 to 655 of the family's 3401-position model. Lineage: Eukaryota; Fungi; Basidiomycota; Agaricomycetes; Cantharellales; Tulasnellaceae. The record is from RNAcentral.
UCAUUCGAUGGAAGACCGUUGCAAAUUGCGAUAAAGUGAUGUGAUGCGCAAGUCCACCACUUAUACGUGAAUCAUCGAGUUGUUGAACGCAUUGCACCGCGCCCUAAUCCGGCUGCGGUAUGCCCCUUUGAGCGUCAUUGUAUUCCUUCGGGAGUCCUUUUACAAGGACCCGAGUUCGGAGUCCUCGGUCCCCUGUGGAUCGUGUUCUCUCAGAUCCCUCGCACCGAUCGCCUGAUGCGUCCUCUAAUGCCUAAGCGUGGAGUUCCUUCAGAGUCCGACAGGUGCUUGACCGAGUCUUGAGCUCGUGUCACCAAGUCCGCCUAACAGCGGUACUACAACGCAUGACCUCAUUGGGGUAGGACAACCCGCUAGACUUAAGCAUAUUAAUCAGCGGAGGAAAAGAAACUAACCAGGAUUCCCUCAGUAACUGCGAGUGAAGCGGGAUCGGCUCAAUGUGUGAAUCUGGCUUGGGGUACAUCCCGGGUUCGAGUUGUGCACUAUGGAUGCUUCGUCUGCGUUUGUAAAGGCGGUGGAAGUCCGUUGAAACACGGCACCUCAGAGGGUCACAGUCCUGUACCACCUGCCUGCACUCGCGCCAAUGACAAGUGCUCCUCGAGUCGCGUAGUUUUGUAAUGCUGCGCCAAGUGGGAGGUAGAGACCUUCUAAGGCUAAAUAUGAUGACGUGACCGAUAGCACACAAGUACCGCGAGGGAAAGGUGAAAAGCAACCAUGAAAAAUGGGUUGAAACAGUAGUGAAAGCGCUACCGGGAUAAGGGCUAUCGGGUGCUGGGGCUCUUUGGGUGUGCUUUAGUGCUACCCUCCGAGACGGCCCGCGAGGGUUGAUGUUGGGGCGAUAGACGCACUGCAGGAAUUCAGCUGCCUUCGGGCAGUGUUGUAGCCUGCGGUUGCUGAUCCUCCUGCGACCGUUAGCCGCCCGUCUG